RNAcentral lists this small nucleolar RNA (93 nucleotides) under Saimiri boliviensis boliviensis (Bolivian squirrel monkey). RNAcentral's name for it is "Small nucleolar RNA SNORA70 (ENSSBOG00000019199.1)". It matches the Rfam family "Small nucleolar RNA SNORA70". Rfam says of the family: snoRNA U70 seems to be exclusive to mammals and is a member of the H/ACA class of snoRNA which contain H (ANANNA) and ACA box motifs. H/ACA box snoRNAs are involved in the conversion of uridines to pseudouridines (5-ribosyluracil) a constituent of structural RNAs (transfer, ribosomal, small nuclear, and small nucleolar). The record is from Rfam by way of RNAcentral. Lineage: Eukaryota; Metazoa; Chordata; Mammalia; Primates; Cebidae.
GUACAUAUGCAGUGGCUGCAGACAGCAGCUUCCUUUGUAGUGUGUGCAGCCUGUUUCUUGUAUGAGUUGCUCUAAGGGACCUUGGAGACAGGC